Molecule: ribosomal RNA, 491 nt
Filed under: uncultured bacterium
Lineage: Bacteria
Description: partial 16S ribosomal RNA
Rfam family: Bacterial small subunit ribosomal RNA
Source: RNAcentral
AGUGAACGCUGGCGGUAGGCCUAACACAUGCAAGUCGAACGGCAGCACAGUAAGAGCUUGCUCUUACGGGUGGCGAGUGGCGGACGGGUGAGGAAUACAUCGGAAUCUACUUUUUCGUGGGGGAUAACGUAGGGAAACUUACGCUAAUACCGCAUACGACCUACGGGUGAAAGCAGGGGAUCUUCGGACCUUGCGCGAUUGAAUGAGCCGAUGUCGGAUUAGCUAGUUGGCGGGGUAAAGGCCCACCAAGGCGACGAUCCGUAGCUGGUCUGAGAGGAUGAUCAGCCACACUGGAACUGAGACACGGUCCAGACUCCUACGGGAGGCAGCAGUGGGGAAUAUUGGACAAUGGGCGCAAGCCUGAUCCAGCCAUACCGCGUGGGUGAAGAAGGCCUGCGGGUUGUAAAGCCCUUUUGUUGGGAAAGAAAAGCGGCAGGUUAAUACCCCGCUGUUCUGACGGUACCCAAAGAAUAAGCACCGGCUAACUUCGU